This 513-nucleotide long non-coding RNA is filed under the name Scleropages formosus (Asian bonytongue). RNAcentral describes it as "lncRNA (ENSSFOG00015028912.1)". Lineage: Eukaryota; Metazoa; Chordata; Actinopteri; Osteoglossiformes; Osteoglossidae. The record is from RNAcentral.
CUGCUCCAGCGGAACAUUCCAGAAACAGAAAUGGGCAAACAAGCGAAGGAGAAGGGGGGAAAUCAAUCGUGAUCUGAGUGCUGAGCAUGAGGCUGCCCCGUAUGACAAAGAGACAGAAGAAGCACGCAGCAAUCUGAACUGCGUGAUGCUAGAUGAAUCAUACAUGAAACAGGGAGCAGUCCGGUGGCGAAACGGAUGUUUGACAGAGGAGGAGAAGAGGGGCCGUUUCCUGCAGCACCUGUGUUUUUACUGCGGAGCUGCAGACCACCUUCAUGUCUUUCGUCCGGUGCGGCCAUCCAGUGGAUCCUGACAGCCCAAUCUACUGCAACACACAUCCAUGUCGGACUCCCGUCCGGACGCUACAAACAUAUCUGAUGCUGAGAUGAUGGGAACCAGGGUGAGACCAGCCUUGGUCAGGAAUGAUGGAGCAUCAGGUAAUAUGAUCGACAAAUCAUGGAAUUGAAAGAAUGAGAACUAUGAUUUUAAAGCAGAAGGAUAUAAGUUCAAAUCCCG